RNAcentral lists this ribosomal RNA (253 nucleotides) under uncultured bacterium. RNAcentral describes it as "partial 16S ribosomal RNA". It matches the Rfam family "Bacterial small subunit ribosomal RNA", at positions 524 to 776 of the family's 1533-position model. The record is from RNAcentral.
GACAGAGGUGCCGAGCGUUAGGCGGAAUCACUGGGCUUAAAGCGUGUGUAGGCGGGUCGUUAAGUGUCUUGUGAAAUCCCACCGCUCAACGGUGGAACUGCUGGGCAUACUGGCGAUCUUGAGCCACCUAGGGGCAGACGGAACAAGCGGUGGAGCGGUGAAAUGCGUAGAUAUCGCUUGGAACGCCGACGGUGAAAACAGUCUGCUGGGGGUGUGCUGACGCUGAGACACGGAAGCCAGGGGAGCGAACGGG